This is a small nuclear RNA of Pteropus vampyrus (large flying fox), 95 nucleotides long. The record is from Ensembl. Lineage: Eukaryota; Metazoa; Chordata; Mammalia; Chiroptera; Pteropodidae.
GUGCUCGCUUUGGCAGCACAUAUACUAAAAUUGGAAUGAAGAUUAGCAUGGCCCCUGUGGAAGGAUGACAUACAAGAGACAAACAAAAACUCAUA